This 476-nucleotide ribosomal RNA is filed under the name uncultured bacterium. Its description in RNAcentral is "SSU rRNA". It matches the Rfam family "Bacterial small subunit ribosomal RNA", at positions 26 to 518 of the family's 1533-position model. The record is from RNAcentral.
AGGACGAACGCUGGCGGCGUGCUUAACACAUGCAAGUCGAGCGGUAAGGCCCUUUCGGGGGUACACGAGCGGCGAACGGGUGAGUAACACGUGGGUGACCUGCCCUUAGCUCUGGGAUAAGCCUGGGAAACUGGGUCUAAUACCGGAUAUGACCUCGCGAUGCAUGUCGUGGGGUGGAAAGCCUUGUGCGGCUAGGGAUGGGCCCGCGGCCUAUCAGCUUGUUGGUGGGGUGAUGGCCUACCAAGGCGACGACGGGUAGCCGGCCUGAGAGGGCGACCGGCCACACUGGGACUGAGACACGGCCCAGACUCCUACGGGAGGCAGCAGUGGGGAAUCUUGCGCAAUGGGCGAAAGCCUGACGCAGCGACGCCGCGUGAGGGAUGACGGCCUUCGGGUUGUAAACCGUCUUUCAGCCUGACGAAGCGAAGUGACGGUAGGGCAGAAGAAGCACCGGCCAACUACGCGCCAGCAGCCGC